Molecule: ribosomal RNA, 468 nt
Filed under: uncultured bacterium
Lineage: Bacteria
Description: partial 16S ribosomal RNA
Rfam family: Bacterial small subunit ribosomal RNA
Source: RNAcentral
GACGAACGCUGGCGGCGUGCUUAACACAUGCAAGUCGAACGGAAAGGCCCUGCUUUUGUGGGGUGCUCGAGUGGCGAACGGGUGAGUAACACGUGAGUAACCUGCCCUUGACUUUGGGAUAACUUCAGGAAACUGGGGCUAAUACCGGAUAGGAGCUCCUGCUGCAUGGGGGGGGUUGGAAAGUUUCGGCGGUUGGGGAUGGACUCGCGGCUUAUCAGCUUGUUGGUGGGGUAGUGGCUUACCAAGGCUUUGACGGGUAGCCGGCCUGAGAGGGUGACCGGCCACAUUGGGACUGAGAUACGGCCCAGACUCCUACGGGAGGCAACAGUGGGGAAUAUUGCACAAUGGGCGGAAGCCUGAUGCAGCAACGCCGCGUGCGGGAUGACGGCCUUCGGGUUGUAAACCGCUUUCGCCUGUGACGAAGCGUGAGUGACGGUAAUGGGUAAAGAAGCACCGGCUAACUACGUG